UACAGAGGUCCCAAGCGUUAUUCGGAUUCACUGGGCGUAAAGGGUGCGCAGGCGGCCGAGUGUGUGAGGCGUGAAAGCCCGGGGCUUAACCCCGGAAUUGCACCUCAAACUACACGGCUAGAGCAUUGGAGAGGGUAGCAGAAUUCAUGGUGUAGCAGUGAAAUGCGUAGAUAUCAUGAGGAAUACCAGAGGCGAAGGCGGCUACCUGGACAAUUGCUGACGCUCAGGCACGAAAGCGUGGGGAGCAAAAGGG
RNAcentral lists this ribosomal RNA (253 nucleotides) under uncultured bacterium. RNAcentral's name for it is "partial 16S ribosomal RNA". It matches the Rfam family "Bacterial small subunit ribosomal RNA", at positions 524 to 776 of the family's 1533-position model. The record is from RNAcentral.